GCCAGCCUGUACAGACCAGAGCCAGUCCGUUCUCUGCUAUUCAGCCCCUUGGAAGCUCCAGCCCAGAGCCACAACGGAAGCUUCUAAGGCGUCGCGCAGGGGGUGAAGUUUCUUCUCUUCCCUCCCAGCUGCAAAGAGCAAUUAAACCUGGUGGAGGCUGAGACCCAGAUCCCUUGAACCCGAGUUAUGGCUUCAGGUUGGAUCGCAGCUACCUUAACAGCCUCGGUGCUAAGUGCCCUAGGCAGAGCGGAGAUCCAGCAGCCCCUUUCCGCAGAGGCGGUGGAGGGAGAGAAAUUGACCCUGUCUUGCAAUCACUCUAAAGUGACCACCGAGAAGAUAAUGUGGUACCGCCACGUCCCCAGCCAGGCACCUCGGCUUUUGGCAGGUGGAUUCAGGGGCGAGACUCCCGGCACCGAAGCGGGCAGCACUUUAUACAUCGCUCAGGACAAAGCUUCCAGUGUCUUUGAGUUCCGCAGUGUGCGGCUGGUGGACGCAGCGGUGUAUUACUGUGCUCUGAGCGACACAGCGUGA
This is a non-coding RNA of Chelonoidis abingdonii (Abingdon island giant tortoise), 531 nucleotides long. NCBI's taxonomy places the organism in Eukaryota, Metazoa, Chordata, Testudines, Testudinidae. The record is from the annotation of a RefSeq genome assembly.